RNAcentral lists this ribosomal RNA (427 nucleotides) under uncultured bacterium. Its description in RNAcentral is "bacterial SSU rRNA". It matches the Rfam family "Bacterial small subunit ribosomal RNA", at positions 355 to 774 of the family's 1533-position model. The record is from RNAcentral.
UGAGGAAUAUUGGACAAUGGGCGCAAGCCUGAUCCAGCAAUGCCGCGUGCAGGAUGAAGGCCUUCGGGUUGUAAACUGCUUUUGUACGGAGCGAAAAGGUCUGCCCUGAUACGGUGGGCUCAUGACGGUACCGUAAGAAUAAGCACCGGCUAACUACGUGCCAGCAGCCGCGGUAAUACGUAGGGUGCGAGCGUUAAUCGGAAUUACUGGGCGUAAAGCGUGCGCAGGCGGUUAUAUAAGACAGAUGUGAAAUCCCCGGGCUCAACCUGGGACCUGCAUUUGUGACUGUAUAGCUAGAGUACGGUAGAGGGGGAUGGAAUUCCGCGUGUAGCAGUGAAAUGCGUAGAUAUGCGGAGGAACACCGAUGGCGAAGGCAAUCCCCUGGACCUGUACUGACGCUCAUGCACGAAAGCGUGGGGAGCAAACA